AGUGAAAUUGCUGGAUCAUAUUAUAACUCUGUUUAACCUUUUGAGGAAUGGCUAGGUUGUUUUCCAAAGUGGCUGUGCCAUUUUACAUUCUACCAGUCAU
Molecule: microRNA precursor, 100 nt
Filed under: Marmota monax (woodchuck)
Lineage: Eukaryota; Metazoa; Chordata; Mammalia; Rodentia; Sciuridae
Source: RNAcentral